RNAcentral lists this long non-coding RNA (1483 nucleotides) under Phascolarctos cinereus (koala). RNAcentral's name for it is "lncRNA (ENSPCIG00000033019.1)". The record is from RNAcentral. Lineage: Eukaryota; Metazoa; Chordata; Mammalia; Diprotodontia; Phascolarctidae.
AUGAUGUGGGAAGGGAUGAGGCAUCUGUGAAUGUCAUAGGAGGGGAAAAGUAGCCGAUUUGAGAGACAAGAUAUUUCUGUAGGUAUGCAGAGAUAGGGGAAUAACUGGGCCUUUCACAAGCCUCAUUCUCCUUGACCUCUCAGGAGCUGUUGACGCUACAGAGAUCACUCUCUUCUGGGGUUUGGGGACACCCUUCCUUCCUCUCUGAAUGCCCAUCUCAGCUCUGGGUACCUGCUGUCUCCUCCCCUCUACCCCCCACAUACCUGGAAUGUUCUCUCUCACUACUGGCCUCCUAGGCUUCAACUAAAUUCCAGUCAUUUAGACUGGGAGCUCCUUGUAGGCAGGGCCAGACUUUGGCCUCCAAAUUUUAAGUUCCCAGGGCUAAGCAAUCCCUGGCACAAGUUGAUUGACUGGCUUUAGUUACGUACGCUCAAUAAUACGCUCAAGAUAAACCUGGGUUCUUCUGUUACUCUGUGGUUCCAAAAGGCAUGAUGAGAAGAAGAUACACUUCUAUGAUAAAAUGAAGGAUUGAGCAUUCUGAUUCCAGGGUAAGAAGCCAUUAUUCCUCCCGCCUUUCACUGGAAAGAUGCAGUCAGUCAGUCAACAUCCACAAGAACCCUGCUACAGUCUUUGGGAUGGCUCAAGUGACCAGAGGGCUCUGGAAAGUCAUCUCUGUGCCACAAACUGGGCCAGGUUUCACUCAAUUCAAAGGUUCUGAAUCUAGACCCAGUGAAGGACUUAACAGUGUGUGGAGGUGGCCUGUGGACCAGCCAAACAAAGUGCCAAGAUCGUACCACAAGAUAAGCUGCCCUCCCUCUGUAAGCAAGUAAGGGCCCAAAGGCCAUCAAUUGAGUUACGGUGUGACUGUAAGAUAAUCGGUAGAAGAAAGAUUAUGGAAUAGUACACGAAAAUUCCUCACUAUUCUUACAACAACAACAAUUAUUUAAAUAAUAAGGUGAGGAAGUUCCUUUUGAAUACCUGGGGAAUUGUAACUAUAAAUUAAAGUUAAGUGAUGCUUAUUAAGGCUUUCAGGAUAGGUGCUUUAAAAUGUAAAUAGUUUAGGGCAAAACAAUCUCAUCCAUCUGGGGCCUUCAACUCUUUAGAACAGGUGUGAGAACCCUAAAGACAGAGGGACCAGAGAGUCUGCUUACUUUACCCACAAUUGUAACAGGUUAGUUAUAUAGUUUUCUAUAGCUGCCAAGGAGGUUGGGGGAGGGGGAAAAGGGGAGAAGGAAAGCAAAUGACAGUAAGAAAAAGGUAUCGCUGACAAUGAAGAGCCUGGGAUGAUUGUGGGUCUGCAAAUAUCAUUAUAUUACAGCAUAGUAAUUGAUGUUCAUAAUGAUGACUACUACUCAUCAAGAAAAGGUUAAAUUACAUUUUGAAUACUCAGCUUUAGAAAGCAGAGAAGUGUGUAAUAGAUUUUAGCAAGGUUUCUAUCUAAAGUGGUUAAAACAAAAUAAAAAAAGCUAGUGCUUAAAGGACA